ACUCCUACGGGAGGCAGCAGUGGGGAAUCUUGCGCAAUGGGCGAAAGCCUGACGCAGCGACGCCGCGUGCGGGAUGACGGCCUUCGGGUUGUAAACCGCUUUCGGCAGGGACGAAAAUGACGGUACCUGCAGAAGAAGCCCCGGCUAACUACGUGCCAGCAGCCGCGGUAAUACGUAGGGCGAAGCGUUGUCCGGAUUUUAUUGGGCGUAAAGAGCUCGUAGGCGGUUCAGUAAGUCGGGUGUGAAAAAUCUGGGCUCAACCCAGUGCAGCACCCGAUACUGC
RNAcentral lists this ribosomal RNA (283 nucleotides) under uncultured bacterium. RNAcentral's name for it is "partial 16S ribosomal RNA". It matches the Rfam family "Bacterial small subunit ribosomal RNA", at positions 335 to 636 of the family's 1533-position model. The record is from RNAcentral.